This 774-nucleotide ribosomal RNA is filed under the name uncultured Neocallimastigales. RNAcentral's name for it is "partial large subunit ribosomal RNA". It matches the Rfam family "Eukaryotic large subunit ribosomal RNA", at positions 24 to 635 of the family's 3401-position model. Lineage: Eukaryota; Fungi; Neocallimastigomycota; Neocallimastigomycetes; Neocallimastigales. The record is from RNAcentral.
UUAUCUCUGUAGAGUCUGCAUAUCAAUAAGCGGAGGAAAAGAAACUAACUAGGAUUCCCUCAGUAACGGCGAGUGAGGCGGGAAGAGCUCAAAUUUGAAAUCUUCAAGGUUCUACCUUGACGAAUUGUAGUUUAAAGAAGUGUUUUCUGUUGGAGUUUUGGUAAAAGUUCUUUGGAAUAGGACAUCAUAGAGGGCGAGAAUCCCGUAUUUGACCAUUAUUUCAGCUUUGUGAUACACUUUCAAAGAGUCGGAUUGUUUGGGAAUGCAGUCCAAAAUGGGUGGUAAAUUUCAUCUAAAGCUAAAUAUUGGCGAGAGACCGAUAGCGAACAAGUACCGUGAGGGAAAGAUGAAAAGAACUUUGAAAAGAGAGUUAAACAGUACGUGAAAUUGUCAAAAGGGAAGCGUUUGACACCAGUGUUGUUUUCUCGAAAAUCAAUUAAAAAUGGCUUGAUUUUGUGUUGUAUUGACCUUAAAAGCUUUCUUCACUUUUUUCAUGUCUUUUUUAAUGCACUUUUCGUUUAACAAGUCAACAUCAGUUUCUUUUGUUGUAAAAAGGUCAUUGGAAGGUGGCUUUCUUUUCGGAGAAAGUGUUUAUAGCCUUUGACUUCUGCAAUCGGAGAGACUGAGGUCUGCAGCGUAGAUCCUCCUGGAUUAGAUUCAUUUGUGCUAAGUUACAACCGUUUAUAGACAACUUGUUGACUAUAUUCGAUCCUGUAGCUUACUCGCUUAUGUAAUUUUACCUACGCUUAGGAUGUUGAAGAUGUAGCACAUCAU